Molecule: long non-coding RNA, 471 nt
Organism: Sander lucioperca (pikeperch)
Lineage: Eukaryota; Metazoa; Chordata; Actinopteri; Perciformes; Percidae
Exons: 2
Source: RefSeq, a predicted model, not a curated record
UAGGUGCUUUAGCCAGCUAACGUUAGCUCCAUGUGUUGGGUGAAAAAGCCGUCUCCAACUGAGUUUUUUAUUUUUUUAUUUUCAGCUGACUCAUUUUAAAACAAGAAUCUUAAAGAAGGAGUCUUAAGUAUUCACUUAAUGGCUACAUGUUGUGCUAAAAGUCUAAAGCUAACGCUGCAUGUCACAGGCAAAAAGUCAGCUUCCUCACCAAUCUAGUUGUUUAUAGGCUUCUUUUUCUGUAACCUGUAGACUCGCACAGUAAUGUAGUUGGUUAGCACUAUGCUGACUGUUGGCCUCGGAAGUAAUGCUAGGUUACUACUGUACAUAGUAAGCUAGUUAGCUGGACAUGCUAACAAUUGCUAACAGCUUACGUUAGCACGGAUGAACACAAAGUUUAAUCCAUUCCUUGUGUUUUUGAUUUUGAAAAGGUGAUACAAACGUUUUUUCCAAACUUUUUUUUUUUUUUAAAUG